UCUGAGUUUUAGCGUUGCGCAUGGGAAAACAUUCCACCCACCGGGAGUAAUAGUCUACAACGACUAAGAGGUACUCAUUUUGCUGUGUGCUGCGUGGCAUUGGGCCCAUAAUGUCCACUCCAAGCAUCUCGUUGGAAUGGGUGGUGGUGACUUGUUGUAGUUUGCCCACAGGUUUCUGAUUUUCUCCCUUAAGAGUCUGGCAUUUGACACAUUUUUUAACAUGGUGUUUUAUGUCAGUCCACAUUCCAGGCCAGAAUGCAACAUCAUGGAUACGCUUGUAGGUCUUAUAAAUACCUACAUGACCGCUCCAGGGAUUUGCGUGGUAGUGGUGUAGAAUGGACGACACAAGGCUGUUAGGAAUGUACACUCUGUAAUGAACUUGAUUGUUUGGCAGGUGAGUUUUGUGAUAGAGUUUAUCUUCCACUACCUCAUACUGAUCUUUUAGAGGGGAAUCAUUUUCUGCAAGUGCUUGAAGUGUUUUGAUGAUGUGAGGGUCUUUGUGCUGUUCCUCCCAGAUUGUGGCUGGAGACAUCGGAAACUCAGCAUUCUCCUGCUGGUCUUGGUUGGUGUACAGGUUACAGCUGGUACGAAUCCGAGACAGAGCAUCAGGUGCCAUAUUUAGUUUUCCUUUGCGAUAUUCAAUGAUAAAAUCAAAUCUCUGAAGUCGCAAGGCCCACCGGAUAAGGCGACUCUUGGUUUUUGUGGAAGAAAUUACCCAUUGUAAGGCUGAGUGGUCUGUGAUGACGGUGAACAAUUUGUGCUCUAGGUAGUGCUGCCAUUUUUCCAGGGCCCAAAUUACAGCCAAACACUCUUUUUCGGUGGCUGUAUAAUUGGUCUCCGCUUUGUUCAGGGUUCUGCUGGCAUAAGCAAUAACUUGUUCUAAACCCUUUUCCUUGCGCUGGGUCAGCACAGCACCCAAACCAGUGUCACUGGCAUCAGUGUAAACAGUAAAAGGCAAUUGAAGGUCCGGAUGGCCAAGAAUGGGAGGAGAGUGCAUUGAUGGGUUCAGCGAUCCUGGAGAAGUUUGGUACAAACCGGUGGUACCACCCGGCUAACCCCAGGAAGCGCUGGACCUCCUUGAUGUUGGUGGGCACAGGGUAUUCCCGUAUAGCCUCCACUUUACUUGGGUCUGCAGCUAUGCCUUGGACGUUGACAAUGUGUCCCAGAAAGGUUAUUUCUUUAAGACAGAACUUGCUUUUUUUUAAAUUAAUGGUGAGGCCAGCCAUUUGCAGUUUAUGGAGGACAGCCUGGAGGUCGGAGAAGUGCUGGGCUACAGAUGUAGCCACUGUUAAGGUCAAUCGUGGAAAAGAUGGCGGCUCCAGAUAGUGACUCUAAGAUCUCAGUGAUGUUGGGUAAAGGGGACCAAGACGACAGGUGAGGCCCAUCCAGAAUGUGAUGGUUCUACGAUGCCGGCAGUCAACAUCUCUUCCAGUUGCUCUGUAAUGACAGCUUGUUUGGCAGGUGUUGUACGCCAACUCAUCUUCAUAAUCCUCUGAGAGGAAAGCAGAGAGGAAAGCAGCUUCAAAUUCUUCCCACGUGGUUAUUGAGGAUCGUGCAACUUCCCACCAGUCCCGGGCAGUACCGUAAAGGACAGUGCGGAAAGUGGCCAGAAUGUCAGCAUCAGUAAGAGGAUGUAACGCUAAGAAAUCCUGACAUCGAGUUAGAUAGAGCAAGGGGUCCAUGUCAUCUGACUGUCUCCCAAAAGUAGGAAAUGUAAUCUUAAGAUGAUCACUCUUUACAACAGGAGCAGGAAGCAAAGGAGCGGUCACUGGUGAUACAGCUGAAACUGGAGCGUUAAGAGGCAAAGGAGUUGAUAGGAUACCAGGCAAGUCCUGCUGUGCCGCCGAAGAUUGAGAUGAAGGGUCAAGUAAUGUACAUAUCUGCAUAGAGUCGCCAUUCGGUUCCUCCUCCCAGAUGAAGGGUUGAACAGGAGUACUGCCAGCUAGUGGUGAAGUUGCAAACCGCACCUGGGUUCCUGGUACAUCAGUGGUGCUGGCUUGAGUAGGAGUGACAUGGAGAGGAACACGAGAGAGUCCAGGUGGAGAAAGUAGAGGACGAGGUGCUGGAGGCCAGACUGGGGUAGCAACAUCGGGUGCCGGUGGUUCAAUCUCCACAAAAGUGGAUGGAGAGAGAGGAGUGGUAGCCAUGUUUGAUUGUCAAUGUAUGUGUAGUCAGUGUAAAAAUGUAGUGAAAUGUACGUUGAGUGAAAAAAAAAAAACAAACAACAAUGUACAAAUGUUUAAAAAAAAUAAAUUGGAACAGAAUACUCUAACAGUUCAGUGUGAAAUGUCUGUCCAGUUGUCCAAUUCACACUACAAUUCCCUUAAUUUCACAAACAAUAAUAAGAUUUCAAUAACACAAAUGAUUAUUUCCCCAGCUUUCACAUUAAUUAGGUCAAUCAGUAUAGCAGCAAGACAACUAAGGGGUAACAAUUAUAUAUUUAACAACGUGUAAGUUCAUGAACA
This is a long non-coding RNA of Carassius gibelio (silver crucian carp), 2465 nucleotides long. RefSeq lists it as uncharacterized. The record is from RefSeq and is a predicted model, not a curated record. The transcript has 6 exons. NCBI's taxonomy places the organism in Eukaryota, Metazoa, Chordata, Actinopteri, Cypriniformes, Cyprinidae.